CCUCUUUGAGAAAAAUGAGGUGGUUAAGGUCAAAUCUGUAGAAAGAAAAUGCAUUAUUUUGAAAGGAGUAACAGUUGCUUUAAAAUUUAAUAUACAGUUUUAAUUAUUUGUGAAGUCUGAAACUAAUAACUAUUUCAGAAUUUUAAAGAAGAAAAUGGCUAAUAUAGACAGGAUUACUAAUUCAAGGUAUUCCAAGUUUUUGUUAAUAAAGAUCAGCCACUUUUAAUUAGAGAUCCAAGUCUUAUGUAAAAAUCAGGCUUUCCAAAGUCUCAUUAACAGAUAUAUUAAAGGUGACUAUUUUAUGACUUACUGAACUAAAAAAAAGAGUCAAGGUGACCUCAUUAAAGAUAUGUCGUUCAUUUAUUCUGAAUCUUAUAUUGAUAGAUAAUACCAGAAGAUUUCAGCAUAGCAGAUAAAAUACAGCAUAUCCUAACCAGCACAGGUUUUAGUGACAAACGGGCCCGUUCCAUGGACAUAGAUGACUUCAUCAGAUUGCUACAUGGAUUCAACGCAGAAGGUAUUCAUUUUUCCUAGAUAUUUGGAAAACAGAAAUUUUCAAGGUCAAGAAAAUAAAUGAAUUUUGUAUUUUGUGUAUUUGAGAAGAUAAUGCUUUUGCUUUACUGAGACAUUAUUU
This 634-nucleotide small RNA is filed under the name Pongo abelii (Sumatran orangutan). RNAcentral describes it as "retained intron". Lineage: Eukaryota; Metazoa; Chordata; Mammalia; Primates; Hominidae. The record is from RNAcentral.